This 494-nucleotide ribosomal RNA is filed under the name uncultured bacterium. RNAcentral's name for it is "partial 16S ribosomal RNA". It matches the Rfam family "Bacterial small subunit ribosomal RNA", at positions 30 to 507 of the family's 1533-position model. The record is from RNAcentral.
AUUGAACGCUGGCGGCAUGCUUUACACAUGCAAGUCGAACGGCAGCGGGGAGGAGCUUGCUUCUCUGCCGGCGAGUGGCGAACGGGUGAGUAAUACAUCGGAACGUGUCGAGAAGAGGGGGAUAACCACCCGAAAGGGUGGCUAAUACCGCAUAAAUUCUGAGGAAGAAAGCUGGGGACCUAGGAAUAGGCCUAGCGCUUUUUGAGCGGCCGAUGUCGGAUUAGCUAGUUGGUGAGGUAAAGGCUCACCAAGGCGAAGAUCUGUAGCGGGUCUGAGAGGAUGAUCCGCCACACUGGGACUGAGACACGGCCCAGACUCCUACGGGAGGCAGCAGUGGGGAAUUUUGGACAAUGGGGGCAACCCUGAUCCAGCCAUGCCGCGUGUAUGAAGAAGGCCUUAGGGUUGUAAAGUUCUUUUGUUAGGGAAGAAAAGUCAGCUGUGAAUAAUGGCUGAUACUGACGGUACCUAAAGAAUAAGCACCGGCUAACUACGUG